This 519-nucleotide long non-coding RNA is filed under the name Cavia porcellus (domestic guinea pig). RNAcentral's name for it is "lncRNA (ENSCPOG00000033002.1)". Lineage: Eukaryota; Metazoa; Chordata; Mammalia; Rodentia; Caviidae. The record is from RNAcentral.
UGGUAUAAAUGCCACUGUGGGUAAACAAAACAUGUCUUUUCCCUCUAGCCUGCCACUGUGAGUCGUUGUGGCAUGAUUUACUUGGAGCCCUCACAGUUAGGAUGGGAACCACUUGUGUCUUCAUGGUUGCAUUCACUGAAAGAACCUCUGUGUGAACCAGAACACCAAGCUCUUCUGAGAGGACUUUUUGAGUGGCUGAUAAUACCUUCUUUAAGGUUUCGCAAGAAAAACUGCAAGGAACUGUUUCCUACAAGUAAUAGCAAUGUGGUUGUGUCUCUCACUCGCCUCUUUGAAGUACUGCUCUGUAGUGUGGUAGAAAAUGAUCCUACUAGCAAGCACAUUCGUACUUGGAUUAUGGCUUGCUUUAUAUUCUCCUUAAUUUGGUCCAUUGGGGGAAGUUGUGAUACAGAUGGUCGUCUCACUUUUGAUGGUUUCAUACGAUUAACCAUAAUGGGGAAUAAUGAAGACCAUCCAGUCCCAGCUUGUGUGGGGAAAUGGGAAUGCCACUUUGAAGAGAAA